Molecule: ribosomal RNA, 492 nt
Filed under: uncultured bacterium
Lineage: Bacteria
Description: partial 16S ribosomal RNA
Rfam family: Bacterial small subunit ribosomal RNA
Source: RNAcentral
AGUGAACGCUGGCGGUAGGCCUAACACAUGCAAGUCGAACGGCAGCACAGUAAGAGCUUGCUCUUACGGGUGGCGAGUGGCGGACGGGUGAGGAAUACAUCGGAAUCUACUUUUUCUUGGGUGAUAACGUAGGGAAACUUACGCUAAUAGCGCAUACGACCUACGGGUGAAAUCAGGGGAUCUUCGGACCUUGCGCGAUUGAAUGAGCCGAUGUCGGAUUAGCUAGUUGGCGGGGUAAAGGCCCACCAAGGCGACGAUCCGUAGCUGGUCUGAGAGGAUGAUCAGCCACACUGGAACUGAGACACGGUCCAGACUCCUACGGGAGGCAGCAGUGGGGAAUAUUGGACAAUGGGCGAAAGCCUGAUCCAGCCAUACCGCGUGGGUGAAGAAGGCCUUCGGGUUGUAAAGCCCUUUUGUUGGGAAAGAAAAGCAGCAGGUUAAUACCCCGCUGUUCUGACGGUACCCAAAGAAUAAGCACCGGCUAACUUCGUG